UGGAAACUGGUUGGCUUGAGUGCGGAAGAGGUAAGUGGAAUUCCCAGUGUAGCGGUGAAAUGCGUAGAGAUUGGGAGGAACACCAGUGGCGAAGGCGACUUACUGGGCCGUAACUGACGCUGAGGCGCGAAAGCGUGGGGAGCGAACAGGAUUAGAUACCCUGGUAGUCCACGCGGUAAACGAUGAAUGCUAGGUGUAGGGGGUAUCGACCCCUCCUGUGCCGGAGUAAACACAAUAAGCAUUCCGCCUGGGGAGUACGGCCGCAAGGUUGAAACUCAAAGGAAUUGACGGGGGCCCGCACAAGCAGCGGAGCAUGUUGUUUAAUUCGAUGCAACGCGAAGAACCUUACCAGGUCUUGACAUCGACGUAAGCCUGUAGAGAUACGGGGUGCCUUCGGGCAACGGAAGACAGGUGGUGCAUGGUUGUCGUCAGCUCGUGUCGUGAGAUGUUGGGUUAAGUCCCGCAACGAGCGCAAC
This 476-nucleotide ribosomal RNA is filed under the name uncultured bacterium. Its description in RNAcentral is "bacterial SSU rRNA". It matches the Rfam family "Bacterial small subunit ribosomal RNA", at positions 627 to 1102 of the family's 1533-position model. The record is from RNAcentral.